UACGGGGGGGGCAAGCGUUGUUCGGAAUUACUGGGCGUAAAGAGCGCGUAGGCGGGUGUGCAAGUCAGUGGUGAAAGCCCGGGGCUCAACCGUGGAAUUGCCUGUGAUACUGCAAGUCUUGAAUCUGAGAGAGGAGAGCGGAAUUCCUAGUGUAGGGGUGAAAUUCGUAGAUAUUAGGAGGAACACCGGUGGCGAAGGCGGCUAUCUGGAUCGGUAAUGACGCUGAGGCGCGAAAGCUUGGGGAGCAAACGGG
This 253-nucleotide ribosomal RNA is filed under the name uncultured bacterium. Its description in RNAcentral is "partial 16S ribosomal RNA". It matches the Rfam family "Bacterial small subunit ribosomal RNA", at positions 524 to 776 of the family's 1533-position model. The record is from RNAcentral.